UUUUUUUCAAAUCUCUCUCGGGAAAAUUUUUUCUCCGUCGUCGCAAAAGCCGAGAGAAAACAGCCGAUAUUUUCUAGCGAAGGUAGAUUCCUUGCAAUUAAAGAUUUUUAUUGAAAAUUCCUUGAAUUUUAGAAUUCAAUAAUUCCCCAAAGCCCCCAAGAAUUUGAAGAGCAGCUUCACUGUAACUUUUUUUUUUGCUUGCCUUUCUCUGCUAGCUUCCAUAUCCAAACCCAAAUUUCCGACAUCGUAGAGUAGUUAGAGGGAAUUGAAUGGUUGUUAUCUGGGUAACAUUCACAGUUAAUUUUGUUAUUUUUUUAAAUUUAGUUUCUUGUUUCUACUUGCUGUUUCUAAAUGGGAAGAUAGUAAUUCUUGAUGUUUUGCGAAAAUUUCGGCUUUUCUUUAUGUUGGUUUUGCUGCGUUGAUUCGUCUUCCAUUAUUUUGGGUUUACGAAUGCCAAAUUUUCAGGGUUUUUUCGGUUGCUGUUUUCCAUUUUCUUGUCUUAGCAAAAAAUUGGGAUGCUUUGGUUGUUAAUUUUAUGUUACAGAAAUCUUUCCUAAAGUAGAAGAUUAGGGUUUGUAGCCAGUGAGAACUGCUUUCCUUCAAAUUUCAUGAAUUUGGUUUCACUUUGUAGAGGAUGCUGUCUCUGAAUGAGGAUCGGUAAAUGUCGAUUUGGUUAUUAACGAUGCCAAUUGCUUAAAGGAAUAAAAUUUCCUGCUUUUCUUUUUGAUAGGAAUUUCUUGCUAGUUUUUGUUCUGCAUGUAAUGAUUGCAAACGAUAUUUGUGCGGAUGUCAGAUUCUCCUUGUUUCCUCUAGUAGAUAAAAUGUUGGCUGAGAUCCCCCCCUCUCUCAUUUCCGCUUAUCUCUCUGUUGCAUUAUUCUUUUGCAGUUCAAAUUUGAAGCAGGUAGAUGAGAACCUCGUUCGAUUUUUAGCUCUUUCUUUAGUUUUGUUCUGGAUAAAGAUAGGCAAGUACUUGGAUACCUCAACUCAGCUUUAUAUUUUAGUCAUGUCUUGAAGAUUUGCUUGCUUUAUUUUGGUUUGAGAUUUCUGAGCAUGUUCAUUCUCUGAACAAUCUAUUUGAGUAUUUCUGUGACCUAAGUUUUAUUGUUCACUUGUAUGAUUUGCAUUUACUUCUUUUAUGCAUCAUGCUCGUCCUUUUCAUCUCUGUUCAGGAAUUAUUCUUUUUUAGUGAUUUUAUACACUAUCAAGAUAGUUCUGUUGCCAUUCUGCAAUUUUUAUGUGACCUCAUGUCUGAUUUAGGUUAAGGGUUCUUUGGAAGGCCUACAUCUUGGAACUUAAGCCGAUACUGAAUGCUUAAGAGAGGUUUUCUUGCUUUUGAGCCGAAUAUCUUAUUUGAAUAUGCUUGUAGGGUUUUUGAAGCUUUUUAUACUCAUUACGUUCUUUCCUGAGGUUAUUCAAUGUAUGGUAAAGCUUAUUCUUUUUGGAUUAAGGCUAUUAAGAGCCUCCAGAUUGGGCAAAGCUUGACGAUAAGGUUUUACUAAGGCUGCAAAGAUGAUUUACAUCUCUGAUGAGAAGACUUGUAUAAUGCUUUACAGAUGAGGAGGUUCUUUUCCUUAGGAUCUUCGAUAUCCAGCACUGGGAAUAGCAAUACAACUCCAGCACCUAGAAACAAGAAGAAGGGUGCCAAUCCUGCAGGUGAAAAGGUCCAUGAUGGCUCUCGGAAUCCCAAGGGUUCAGUUCUCAAAUCGCGAAACCACUACCCACAAAGUGAAGACUCAUCCAAUUCACAUCUCAGAAGGAGCCUUUCAUUUUCCUCUCCAUCCACUUACAGUGGUUUGGAGGAAGAGAAUUUGAAUUUUUCAAGUGACAUCAAUAGAUUACCAUCCAGCUAUGGCAACAGACUACAUGAUGCAGGCGAAUGCCCUAUCCAGUAAGUGCUCACAAUCUGCAGAUCUGUUCAAUGAUGUUCAUCCUGUGAUGCUCUAAUUUUGCUUAAAGUUCU
RNAcentral lists this long non-coding RNA (1961 nucleotides) under Phoenix dactylifera (date palm). Its description in RNAcentral is "long non-coding RNA (PDAC_LNC005195)". Lineage: Eukaryota; Viridiplantae; Streptophyta; Magnoliopsida; Arecales; Arecaceae. The record is from RNAcentral.